AUACGGAGGAUGCGAGCGUUAUCCGGAUUUAUUGGGUUUAAAGGGUGCGUAGGCGGACUGUUAAGUCAGUGGUAAAAUCGAGAGGCUCAACCUCUUCCGGCCAUUGAAACUGGCAGACUUGAGUGAGCGAAAAGUAUGCGGAAUGCGUGGUGUAGCGGUGAAAUGCAUAGAUAUCACGCAGAACUCCGAUUGCGAAGGCAGCAUACCGGCGCUCAACUGACGCUGAGGCACGAAAGCGUGGGGAUC
Molecule: ribosomal RNA, 246 nt
Filed under: uncultured bacterium
Lineage: Bacteria
Description: partial 16S ribosomal RNA
Rfam family: Bacterial small subunit ribosomal RNA
Source: RNAcentral